This 202-nucleotide unclassified non-coding RNA is filed under the name fungal sp. Its description in RNAcentral is "partial internal transcribed spacer region". The stretch from base 1 to 46 matches the Rfam family "Eukaryotic small subunit ribosomal RNA", at positions 1786 to 1831 of the family's 1831-position model. Lineage: Eukaryota; Fungi. The record is from RNAcentral.
AAGUCGUAACAAGGUUUCCGUAGGUGAACCUGCGGAAGGAUCAUUAAUUGGAUCACUGGAGUCGGCGGCGCCUCUUUUGAGGUGCCAAUGACGCCUUUUGCUCUGUGAACUGUAUUGUACUAUUGUAUUUUAUUGUAUUUACUUCUUCUCGCAAGAGAAUGAAAUAAAAAGACAACUUUUAGCAAUGGAUCUCUUGGCUCUU